RNAcentral lists this ribosomal RNA (460 nucleotides) under uncultured bacterium. RNAcentral describes it as "partial 16S ribosomal RNA". It matches the Rfam family "Bacterial small subunit ribosomal RNA", at positions 338 to 795 of the family's 1533-position model. The record is from RNAcentral.
CCUACGGGUGGCAGCAGUGAGGAAUAUUGGUCAAUGGGCUUACGCCUGAACCAGCCAAGUCGCGUGAGGGAAGACUGCCCUAUGGGUUGUAAACCUCUUUUGUCAGGGAGCAACGCCGGCUACGUGUAGCCGGACUGAGAGUACCUGAAGAAAAAGCAUCGGCUAACUCCGUGCAAGCAGCCGCGGUAAUACGGGGUAUGCGAGCGUUAUCCGGAUUUAUUGGGUUUAAAGGGUGCGUAGGGUGAAGUCAAAGGCAGCGGGAAAAUCGCAGGGCUCAACCUCGCUCCGCCGUUGAAACUGGCGUUCUUGAGUGGGCGAGAAGUAUGCGGAAUGCGUGGUGUAGCGGUGAAAUGCAGAGAUAUCACGCAGAACUCCGAUUGCGAAGGCAGCAUACCGGCGCCCAACUGACGCUGAAGCACGAAAGCGUGGGUAUCGAACAGGAUUAGAUACCCGUGUAGUC